AGGAUCAAGCGUCUGAAGGGCAUCUGGUGGAUGCCUUGGCACUGAGAGGCGAUGAAGGACGCAGCACGUUGCGAUAAGCCAUGGGGAGCCGCGAGCAGGCUUUGAUCCGUGGAUUUCCGAAUGGGGCAACCCACCGCGCAAGCGGUAUCCUCACCUGAAUUCAUAGGGUGGGAGGCGAACCCGGCGAACUGAAACAUCUAAGUAGCCGGAGGAAAGGACAUCAACCGAGACUCCGCUAGUAGUGGCGAGCGAACGCGGACCAGGCCAGUCAUUCAGUCUACACAACCGGAACCGUCUGGAAAGGCGGGCCAGAGCGGGUGAUAGCCCCGUACGGGUAAACCGGACUGAAUGCUCGAGUAGGGCGGGGCACGUGAAACCCUGUCCGAACAUGGGGGGACCACCCUCCAAGCCUAAGUACUCCUCAGUGACCGAUAGUGCACCAGUACCGUGAGGGAAAGGUGAAAAGCACCCCGACGAGGGGAGUGAAACAGUUCCUGAAACCGGAUGCCUACAAGCAGUCGGAGCGGCCUUGCGCCGUGACGGCGUACCUUUUGUAUAAUGGGUCAGCGACUUACAGUAAGCAGCGAGCUUAAGGCGAUAGCCGGAGGCGCAGCGAAAGCGAGUCUGAACAGGGCGCUUGAGUUGCUUGCUGUAGACCCGAAACCCGGUGAUCUAGCCAUGGGCAGGUUGAAGGUGCGGUAACACGCACUGGAGGACCGAACUCACGCCUGUUGAAAAAGUCGGAGAUGACCUGUGGCUAGGGGUGAAAGGCCAAUCAAACCGGGAAAUAGCUGGUUCUCCGCGAAAGCUAUUUAGGUAGCGCGUCGGGCGAUUGCCCACGGGGGUAGAGCACUGGAUGGGCUAGGGGCCUCGCGGCUUACCAAACCUAA
Molecule: ribosomal RNA, 890 nt
Filed under: Azospirillum brasilense
Lineage: Bacteria; Pseudomonadati; Pseudomonadota; Alphaproteobacteria; Rhodospirillales; Azospirillaceae
Description: partial 23S ribosomal RNA
Rfam family: Bacterial large subunit ribosomal RNA
Source: RNAcentral